This 253-nucleotide ribosomal RNA is filed under the name uncultured bacterium. Its description in RNAcentral is "partial 16S ribosomal RNA". It matches the Rfam family "Bacterial small subunit ribosomal RNA", at positions 524 to 776 of the family's 1533-position model. The record is from RNAcentral.
UACGGAGGAUCCGAGCGUUAUCCGGAUUUAUUGGGUUUAAAGGGAGCGUAGGUGGAUUGUUAAGUCAGUUGUGAAAGUUUGCGGCUCAACCGUAAGAUUGCAGUUGAAACUGGCAGUCUUGAGUACAGUAGAGGUGGGCGGAAUUCGUGGUGUAGCGGUGAAAUGCUUAGAUAUCACGAAGAACUCCGAUUGCGAAGGCAGCUCACUGGACUGCAACUGACACUGAGGCUCGAAAGUGUGGGUAUCAAACAGG